GCCGAAAUGGUGGAAUAGGUAGACACAAGGGACUUAAAAUCCCUUGCUCGCAAGGGCGUACGGGUUCAAGUCCCGUUUUCGGCA
This is a transfer RNA of Sphaerochaeta globosa str. Buddy, 84 nucleotides long. It matches the Rfam family "tRNA". From Rfam's summary of the family: Transfer RNA (tRNA) molecules are approximately 80 nucleotides in length. Their secondary structure includes four short double-helical elements and three loops (D, anti-codon, and T loops). The record is from Rfam. Lineage: Bacteria; Pseudomonadati; Spirochaetota; Spirochaetia; Spirochaetales; Sphaerochaetaceae.